This 31593-nucleotide long non-coding RNA is filed under the name Ananas comosus (pineapple). RNAcentral describes it as "long non-coding RNA (ACOM_LNC022187)". The record is from RNAcentral. Lineage: Eukaryota; Viridiplantae; Streptophyta; Magnoliopsida; Poales; Bromeliaceae.
AAAUACAUACCAAAAAUCCAGGAUCAAAACAAGAAUAUAAGAUAACUCACAGAGCGCUAUAGAGAAGAGAUUCUUGAUUAAUCUUGCGGAAGCUGGAAGUCCGGCUACGAUCUGAAAGUCACGAACCGAACUUGAGUGAUUUGAUUUCUCCCCCUAUCUCAGGCACUCUGCCGUAUGGUGUGGAACCGAUGGUAAUUUUUCACCAGAAUGCGUAUGAGAAGGUGGCAGGACCAAUACCCCUUUAUAUAGAGUCCAAAUCGACUUCCCAUCAAAGUCUGAUUAGGAUUCUAUUUAAAUUUAAAAUAGAUGGGAUAGGGAUAAAAUAUACCAUAUCAAGUAGUUCUAUAUCUGUUAGGAUUGACCUUUAUCUAUAGCAAAUCCUAAUUUAAAUAUAAUUAAUUGGGCCACAAUAUAUGGAAAUCCUAACAAAAAAAACAUGCAUUGAAACUAGAUGGCCACAGGAAUUGCUGGUUUCAACCAUAGCUACACAGAGCAACACAAAAUUUUCGAAAACACAUUCCCUUCCUCUACAUUUAAAGUUAAACUCAAAUUAAAAUCUAAAUCUCAUAGUAAAAAACCCUAAUCCACUACCCAAUUCAAAUAAAUGGGUUGAAUCUCGCACUCUUCGUGGCUCCAAACCAUGGGAUUUAAAUUUUGAACCAAAAACAAUUGAUAAAAGGAAAAAUCAAACCAGAAAAAGAAUCGAUUCUUCUCGAUGUGUCGGCGUCGAAAUCCUAGCUCCUCUCCCGCUCGCUUUCUCUUCCUUCGCCGCAGGAGACCGGCGAGUUGUCGCCUUCUAAAUGAAGAGGGGAAGGCAGAGCAGCGUGAGGUGGAGUAGGGCUAGAGGGCGGCGCGCGACCUGGAUGGAGGAGGUGGCGACGACGAGGCGAGGAAGGCGCGGAUUUGGGAGAGGGAGCCAAACCCUAGCGUACGUUGGGAGAGGGAGGCGCUAAGGAGAAAGGGUUGAGCGGAAGAGAAAGGAAUGAGAUGAAAAGUGCCCAAAUAAAAAAUAUAGCUAAAUAAUUUUAAUAAUAAUAAUAAAUUAUCUAACCUCUUUUGUUUCCCUCUUUUGUUUCCCGCGCAUUAUAAAUAACGACGCUAAACCCUAGCGUCGGUAAAAUUUUGACAGUAGAAAAAAUUGCUGACGCUUUCUAAAAGCGUCGGCGUAAAAGCGUCGGCACAUGCAUAUUUUUCUGUAGUGAAACUCCUCCUAAAAUAAGCAAUCUUGCAUUUUAAAAAAAAUUUGACAAAUUUUAGUCAAUUAGCGAAUAACCAUUCAUCAUAUUCAACACUCACAAUCGAGAUAAAAAUGGAGUAAAACUGAUAAUUAAUAUGAACUUAACUCAAAAUGAAUAAAGUGAAUUUGAGAUGUUCAAGACACUUUUCAAGUUUGAUCACCCAAAGAAAAAUUCAAACAAAAAAAUUUCAAGCAAAAUGAACAUCCAAACAUGUAAUGUAAUGAUCAAAGAUAUGCAAUGAGUAUCAACCAAAGCACUACACAAAAAUCAAAACAAAUUAAGAUUUAAGACAAGGAAAUAUAUCACCUUUCCGAACCCAAACUUGCCGGAUUGUUGGUUUCCUUAGUUUGUGGCCGUUGGGCACCGUUUGCUUUGACUUCCGAUCAAUCUUUGGUCUCCAUUUUGCAUUCGACUUCGUGGGAUUUUUUGUUGGGACUUCGACUUUGGAUUGAUCUUUGACACUCGACUUGGUUGAUGUUGCUUUCGAUCCGUAGGUCAUGUCGAGUACUAGAGGAUGCCAAUUGAUGUUUCUUUCCUUUUCUAGGGCAUGUCUUUUCGAUGUGACCUUUAUUUCCACAUCUAUAACAAACUUUCUCAUUCAAAUUUGUUGAGACUUUGAGUGUUGAAUUUGAACCUUCUCAACAUAUAUCCGCUCAAAUCUAAGCCCAAGUUUGUCCGUUUGACCCAAUCCGAGCAUAUGAUCUAGCUUUUUCAAUCUGGAGGAAAACUUGUGAAUGUCGGAUUUGAGUUGAUGAACUUGGUUGGUCAAGACUUGGUUGGAUGAUUGAAUUUCUUCAUGUUGUUUUUCUAAAAAAACAAUUUUUCCUUGAUAUGAUUUAACAAUUGAUUCCGAUUCAUUAAGUUUCUCUUGGAGGAUUUUGUUGUUCUUCAAUAUCGAUUCCCUUUCCUCCUCAAGAGCUUUAUUGGUGAUCUUUAAUGUUUUGUUCCCAUCUUCUAGCUCAAGCAUUCGUUUGCUUAGCUUCUCGCUGUGUUUAAUCAUCUUCUUUGAUUCAAUGAGAAGUUGUUGGUAUGCCUCGACCAAGCUUUCAUCAACCGACUCCCCCUUACUCUCGCCAUCAUCGCUCAACGUUCCAUGCAAUAAGGGAGAAACAAAAGAGUCAGAAAUAAUAGAUGGUAAACAAGUAAUAGAGGAAGAAGGUAAAGAAGUGUGAGACACUAAAGCUAUGGCAUUAUUCUUCUCCUCUUCACUUGAGAUCGAUUCAUCUGAAGUAGCAUCAUCCUAAGUUUUUGCUUGCAAAGCCUUCUUCUUAUAGGAUUUCUUAGUGGGACAAUCCGUAUAAAUAUGGUCAUAACCUUUGCAUUUAUAGCACUAGAUUCCCCCUUCAAAAUUAUCUUUUUCUUUAAAAGGUUUUGCAAGUUUUUUGUCUUUUGAUUUUGAGCUUGAAAAUCCUUUUGAAAAAGAUUUUUAUUUUGUGGAUGAGGCUUUGUUCUUCCGAAAGUUCCAACGAAAUUUCUUCGUUAAAAGUGUCAGUUGAUGUUCAAAGUCGGCUAGCGAAAUUUCUCCGUCGGAAUUCGAGUCAUCCUCCUCCUCCUUAGUAGAUUUGAGUGCAAUUCCUGUACUUUUAGAAGAAGACUUGACAGAAAAUUGAUUAGUAGGAAAAGUCAUUUCAUAUGUUUGUAAAGCACCAACUAAUUUCUCAACUUUCAUUUCAUCCGGAUGUUUAAUGGUUUCAAUUGCCGCAACCUUCGGACGAAAUCUCUCGGAAAGAGUUCUCAAGAUUUUUCUUACAACUUUAGGUUCCGAAAUUCUCUCACAAGUUCGUGCAUGUAUUAACUAUGUCUUGAAGUCGAGUAUAGUACUUGGUAAAAGUCUCAUGUUCCUCCAUACAAAUUGAAUCAAAUUUACUUAUUAAAAUUUGUAAUUUUUGGACCUUUACCAAGCUAGUUCCUUCAUGCGUAACUUGAAGAGUAUCUCAAAUUUUCUUUGCCGUUUCAAACGUCGAAAUGCGUGAAAACUCGGUUUAAGAUAAAGCGUUAAAUAAAGCAUUAAUUCCCCUACCGUUGUAAGACGAUAAAUCUUUCUCUUCCUUACUCCAUUUAUCACGAGGUUUUGGCUUUUCAACAUUCUCAACUUUUUCAGUAGGAUGUUUUUAUCCAAAUUCGAUGGAUUGCCAAACCCGCUCGUCAAUGGCUAUUAGAAAGACUCUCAUGCGAACCUUCUAAUAAGUGUAAAUAGUCCCAUCAAAUAACGGGGGCCUAUUAAUGUUACCUCCUUCACUUAUAAUGAAAGAUAAACCUAGAUCCCGCUCUGAUACUACUUGUAGAUUAUGGAAACCCUAGGAUAUAUCUAGAUACUCUCAAACACCUAAAGGGGGGUGAAUAGGUGUGUAGGCCAAAAACACAAAUCUCAAUGCGAUAAAAGUAAAUGCGAAAAAUAAAAUAGCACACCGAGAUUUACAUGGGAAAACUCCAAUUUGGAGAAAAAAUCCAGGGAAUCAACACGCGAAAAAAUAAUCCACUAAGAGAAAAAGAUUAUAAGGUGAUUACCGACUCUAUGGACUCGACCUCUCUUUGACCUCCUACGGAUCUCGCGCACGUCACCAGGUUGUCCACGCCCUACGUUCGAAUCCACAGACACCACUAGAAUCCUCGAGCACUCACGAUUCGAAUCCACGAGUCGCCUUGAUCACGCCGAAUCCACGACGCCGCACAUGAAGAGUAAAUUCAUGUUUAUAUAGUGAUCCUUUGCUUAGAGUAUCGCUGAAGGACCAGAGAAAAAUCUCUAAGAAAAACUUAGAUCAAUUCGACAUAUACAUAUUGAAUUCAAUAUCUCGAAUUGACCUAAAGAGGCUAUUUAGUGGAAAAUGGUUUAGAACGAAAAACCUAGCUUAUAGAGUUACUCUCUCAUGUAUUCUGAGUGCUUCAUCGUCAGAGAACCCUACCAUCAUAUUUAUAGACUUUAGAAUCAAUUAUGGUCGGAUUAGAGUCAUAUUAGAAAAUUUAUACAUUGACUACCGGUACUCGAAUGUGGGUACCAGUACGCCAUGACGCAACCGAAAUUUCCUAAUACUGAGUACCGGUACUCUGCCGAUGCCGUACUGGUACUCGGCCGAUGCAGUACCGGUACUAAAACCUGGUACUGGUACACAAUUCAAUCCGCAGAAUUGUUGCUCUCGGAUUAUGAGGAACUCAAUAUUGGGUAUCUGUACUUAAUAUAAAAAAUUAGGUUUUUCAACCCGAUUUUGAGGAACUGGAACCUGGUACCGGAACACAAUAUAAAAUAUUGUUAUAAACAAUUCAAAAGUUCCAAAAAUCAUUUCUAAUCCAUUAAUUAUUACUUAUAUGAUUCUAAUGUCAUAAAUCAAUAUGAAUCACCAUAAAAAACAUUUAAAUUAUACUUGAGCACCAUGAUUCAAUCUGCGAGAUGUUUUUGAGUUCUUCUAGCAAUCUCGGAUUCUUCCACCAUCGACAAAACGAACCAAACUCUUCAAUACUCCCACUCAAAUCACGAAACUUGCCAAUACAAAAUCCCUAAUAUGAUGGACAUAGUAGAGGUGGACCUUCAUAUAGAUCUAGAUCCUAUACGAACUACUACUGUUUACAUGCAGUGGUAUUGGAGGAUCACCAAGAGGUGGAUAUCUAGGCCAGUACAGCGUCCACCUCUCAUGUAUCAAGCACGUGGAUAUGUCGAGAGAGUAUUGGUAUAAUUUUAAUAUAUAAUAUCUCUUUAUAUUUAUUUUUAUAUAUAAAAAAAGUUUAGUGUAAUUUUCAUGAUGCUGCAUUUAUUUUAGGUAGAUGACGUGUCCGGCCAGAUAUUCGAUAUGGCGGAGUAUUAGAAACCCUGACACAAGUUGCCAAUCAAAUGGAAGCAGUUUUGUAGACUUUACCUACGCUUUCAGACACUGUACCUCUACGGCUAGCAGAACCUGGUGGACUAUCGAUGUCGGGCCAUGUACUACUAUAUAUAGUCCACCGAGGCCAUCUUCACUGAUAGAGGAGCCACUUUAUCAUCCAGACACAGUACCAGUACUAGAGGAUCCACCUCGACCAGCUGAUAUUGUUUAUCGUAGGCGCCGACGGCAAUUGCAAUCUCUCCACGGAAAUCAGCCCUCUUCUUCAGCUCCUCCACGACCAGACAUAGUACCAACAACUACUAUGGUUGAGCACGGGAUUAGAUGGGUGAUAGUGACACAGGACACUCAGCUAGUUGUUGAGGGUGCUGCUACUGAACAUCCCGACCAGUUGGAAGUCAUAGAGCCCUUUGAUGAGUAUGGUGUUGAUCGUGGUCGCGGCCGUGAUAGGGAACGUGUAAGUAGACGUAGUCGAGAGACUAGGAGGAGGACAUGACAUUACAUUUUGUAAAUUUUAAAUUGCACAGAACUUUCUAUAUUAUUAAAAAAUUACUAUAUUUUUUGAUAUUUUAUUAUGAUGAUAUGGUAUUGAUGUUCUAUUGAUGAUGUAUUGUUGUAUUGAUGUUGUGUUGUUGUGAUGGAUUUGUUGUUGUGUUGUUGAUGUUGAAUUUAUUGUGUUAUUGUGUUGUUGGAUUUUUGGUGUUGGAGAGGAUGCUGCCUGGGUUGGAGUUCUACUAAACACGAUGAACCAUUCACCAUGUCCAAACAUGAUGAAUGGUUCACCGUGUUUAGUGUAUUAUACUGGUUGAGAACGGGAUCAACAUAAGUUUUGAAUAGUACGGUGAAUCGUUCAUUGUUUGGACACGAUGAAUGGUUCACUAUAUUCAAUUUAACAAUGCACUACCCAACCUGCUAGCGUGGCGCUUACGUGGCCGCUCGCGUGGUAGGACUAUUUGUGAAAAAAAAAAUUUGAGGGGGCCAAAUACAAAAAAAAGCCCUUAUUAAAUAUGAUGACAUUCUUUACAUUUUAUUAAUUCCUUUUUAUAUUUUUUCCUAUUUUAUUAAAAUAAAUAAUAAUAUUUUGUAUUAAUGAUAUAGUAGAUAUGUUAACUCAAUAAUUUUAAAUGAUAAUUGGAAACUGAUUUGAAAUGACAAUGCAGGUAUAUUUUAUAAACAAUUAUUUUUUAUUAUCGACUGUCCAUAGAGCAAGUGCCAAAGGGUUUGGUGGUUGGUACUCGAGACCCAAGUUCGAAUUCUAGUUGAUUCACAUUUCUAGCUAAGUUUAUUUCUAAAUGAAAUAAACGAAGCGGGUAGCGUGCUACCUAUCUCUCUAAAAAAAAAAACAAUUAUUUUUUAUUUAUUUAGUUUCAACUAUAUGGUAUAAGAAGUUGAAUCGAAAUAUUAAUCGCUUUUAUAUUCAUUUUUAUCUUAUUGAAGUUAUGGUAAAAAUGUAAGCACACUCCUANUUUUUUUUUUUUUGAGAAAAAAGUAGCACGCUACCCGUUUCAUUCAUUAGAAGGAUGAAUUAGGCUACAUGGGUGAGGCAACAUUGGCUUCGAUGGGGGUGGAAAAAAAAAAUUAUGGUAAAAAUUUAAUGAAUGAAAUUUUAGUCGCUUUUAUAUUCAUUUUUAUCUUGUUGAAGUUAUGGUAAAAAUUUAAGCACACUCCUAGUUUUUUUAAUUUAUAUUAUAUAUUAUUUAAUUAAUGAUAUUCUUUAUAUUAUUUAAUUAUACUCAAAAUCUAAAAUCUUCUACAUAUUACAAAAUAAAAUUUUUUGUUUUAGAAAAAAAUUGUGCAUGCGAAUAUCCGAAAACUUAAAAUCAUAUAUGUAGUCGAUCACAAUGUAUGAUGUUAAAAGCAUACAAAAUUUCGUGCAUAAUUUUGAGCCUUCACAAACAAAACUAUUUUUUCACCCAAAAAAAUUUCUGAAAUAUAAUUGAUGUACUGUUCAUAAUAUAUUUAUUAUUAUUUUAUUUUAUAAUAAUAUGCACUGUUAUAAUCCGCAAUGUAGCUUGGAAUUUUCACUAUUUUGUGUGUGUUAAGUGUCUAUUUGUUUGGAUAAAAGUGGAGAGGGGUGAAGUUGUUUUCGACUGUAAAUGAUUAUUUUUGCUUUUUGUUUCGUCGUUUUAAAGAUACGGUCAAAUCUCUAAUUACCUGAAACAACAUAAUUGACUUCAGCUUAUCUCGGUAAAAAAAAGUAAAGAAAAUUAAUAAAAUAAUAUAAUAAGUAAUGCUAGUUAUAUUUAAAUAAUUUAAUUAUGUACUAAUUACUCUUUUAUUUAGUUUGUAUGUUUAAAAUAUGAAAAAAUUUGAUUAGUUAUGUUUUAUUGUUUUCUUCAUUUAGUUUGUAUAUCUAAAGUAUGAUGAAAAUUCAUUAGUUAAGUAAUUGUAUUUUUUUUUACUUUGUAAUUUUAUUAUUGUAUUAUUAUAAUUUAUGUAUAAAAAAUAAUUUAGUUAUUUUAGAUAAAAUUUUUUAAAUUAUAAUAAAAAUAUAAUUACAUUUUAUUUAUCAAUUAUAUUAUAAUUUAUUAUUUAUUAAGUUAUUUAUUAUUAUAUAUAAAUUAUAGUUUUAUUUUAUUUACUUUUUUACCUGUAGAAGUGAAGAAACUUUACUUUUAUAACUAUGAAACAACAGCUUCGGCCCCUUUUUUUUUUAUAUAUCUAGUUUGCAUUUUUAACAUAUAAUAAAAAUUGAGAUAUGGUCGUAAUAAAGAUAUGUUCAAAACUCUUGGCCGAACUCAAUUAUGGUGAAGGGAGGUAAAAAAUAAUAAAAUAAUAUAAUGGAUAAUGCUAGUUAUAUUUAAAAUAUAUUUAAUUAUGACGGUAAUUAUUUUUUUAUUUAGUUUGCAUAUUUAAAAUAUGGUAAAAAUUGAUUAACUAAGUUUUAGUGUUUUCUUCAUUUACUUUGUACAUUUAAAAUAUGAUAAAAAUUGAUUAGUCAAGUAUUAAUAUUCUUUUUAUGUUAUAAUUUUAUUGUUUUAUUAUUAUAAUUUAUAUAUUAAAAAAUAAUUUAGGUGUUUUAGAUUUAUUUUUAAUUGUAUUAAAAUACAAUUAUAUUAUUUUUAUUAUUUAUUAUUUAUUAAGUUAUUAUUAUUUAUACAUAAAUUAUAAUUUUAUAUUAUUUAUUUAUUUAUAAUUAUGAAAAUAAAGAGUGAAAAAAUACGAACUCUAUUUUGAUCUAAAGUUAAUUUCAAAUUUUCAAUCCAAAAAUUAAUUUGGGUAAAACAGACAGCCCCUGAUAAAGGUCGGUCGGUGAAGCGGUGGCGUGGCGUUUCAGCUUUGCAGACGCUGUCGUUCUUCAACUAAAUAAGGCCCCCGUCAAGGCAGCGUCUCGAUCCCGUAAAGGCGUAACCCUUGCUCCUACGCCGAUCAUAUUAUUAUUUAAUUUAUUAAUUAAUUAUUAUUAAUUAAAAAUCUUCGGUUUUCGGUCCAAGUUAGGGAUGCAAAUGGAUCCGGGUUGAUGGAGCUCCGCCCGAUCCGCCCCGAAUGGAGUGGUAAGUGGGAACAAAAAAUAUAAAAAAAUAUAAUCCGUCCCGAAUCCGCACCGAUCCGCCAAAUAAAUGGAGCGGGAGGUAAUCCGCGCCCGAAUGAAACGGUAAGUGGGAGGCAAAAAUAAAAUAAAAAGUAAUCCACCUCGAAUCCGUCCCGUCCCGAUAAGAAAUGGAGCGAGAGGUGGGAAAACUCUCCGCCGCCGGAUCCGCCCGGCUUGCAUCCCUAGUCCAAGUCUUCCAGCUUGGCGCAGCAGUACAAAACUACCGCACGAUUUGCCGUGCGACCGCCGCGAACAUGAACCGCCACGUUUCCGUGUAUGUAUUGCCGCGUGGGGUCUACCACCGCGUAUUCUCCCCGUCCUGCUGCGUCGCCCGUUCCCCACGGCGCGGUUGUUGCACUCGUCCCCCUUCCCCGUCCUACAAAAGAGGGGAAACGAGGGGGAAUCGAGGCGGAUCGUCUCUUCGAUUUUCGUUUCCCUCCUCUUCGCAUUCGGAUCUCGACUCGGGCGUUGCGGGCAGAAUUUGCUCCGAUGGGAACUCCGGAGUUUCCGGAUCUCGGGAAGCACUGCAGCGUCGACGACUGCAAGCAGAUCGAUUUCUUGCCCUUCACCUGCGACAGAUGCAGUCAGGUACUCUCUCCUCUUCUCUCCUCAAUUUUAUGUAUAUUCCCGUCCCGUAAAUAAAUUCGGGGUGAUUUAUCUUUUUCCCUUUUUCCUUUUCCCUUUGGGCUUCAAGAUUGUCGUUUCCUGUUCUGCCUUUCUUCUUAGGUGAAGACCGCCGCAAAGCUUUACGAAGUAAUUUGUUAAUACGCCCCCUAACUCAUUACGUCGUCGGUGAACUUCAGUUAUCAUUUCAAGCGGAUUAUUUAGUCAGUCGACAAAUGACUGCCAUGAUGAUUGACCUAUUUUGCUAUUAGAUGAUGUGGAACUGGAAUUAACUUCCAUAUCAUUUUAAGAACAUAAAGGCUCAGCUGCUGCUCUGUCUUUAGGAAAUAACGAGGCAGCUGAAUUAGCAUUGUCAUUUCUAAGAGAUAAUAUGGCUAUGAGAUAAUAUGGUAGCCGGUGAGAAAUCACAGUUAAAACAGUUGUCGCCUCGUCUCUUCAUUAAGGGUAAUUAAAUAGAGUUUGACAGAACUAUCGAUUUAAACAACAAGUGUAAGGGCUUUAUUUCAGCCAAUUGAAAUUUUGUGCCCUCACCGGAAGGAAUUUCUAGAUAGAUUCAAUGAUUAGUGCGGUAAUUUACGCUGGUUCUCUCCUUCGACAUCUUUAUUUUGUGAAAAUCUUGCUUCGUAGAUGAGUGUUUGCAUUUCCACUUUUGUUUAAAGCUGAAGCUAAAUUACUCAUCUUCAUCACUUGAGGAAGAAUGCUCUUCUUCUCCUGCGUCAGAUUUGUCAUCUCCAUGUCUUACUCUUCUUCUUCUUCCUCUUUCUCUUCCUCUUCUUUUUCUUCUUCUUCCUUUUCAGCAAAAGAUCAGAGGUGAGGGUGGAGCGAAGAAGCAGAGGUCAUAGAGGAGAGGAGUAGAGUGACUAAAAGGGGAAGUGGAGAUGAGUGAGAGAGAGAGCGACUUGGAGAGAGAUCAAGAAAGAGUUAUUCAGAGAUAGAUCUAGGGGGGGCAAUUGGACCAAACCUAACUUAAUUUGGUUUCUCAAGAGGUUAGUUUAGGGUUUAGGAUUUCUUAACUAAUUAAACCCACUAGGCCCAAUAAGAAUGGAUCCAAACUGAAUAUUUAUAAGGCGUGCCCUUGAGCCUAGCCCCAGGAGUGCGCCUGGGCAAGGUCGGCUUGCCCAUGUUCUCCCUUGGUGUAGGCCUCUGGGCCUUGUAUGCAUAGGCGUGCGCUUAUGCAUAGUGUGCGCUUGUGCGUAGGCGUGCGCUGAGGCCUGCUUUAGCCAACAAAUUUUACAAGCUGCAUACCAAGAUCUUUAGUAUUUUUUAUUAGUAAUAAAUGGUACCAAAUCAAUCUAAUUAUGCAAAAUUAGGUUAAAUACUCAUGCCGUCAGUCUUAUCAUUGGAACAGUUUUAAUCCCCCUUUUUUCUUAAAAAUAUAAAAAAUAGUUUCCAUUAAAAGUGAUAAAGAAAAUACAAAAAGAAAUAAUGACUAAAUUUUCUUAUUAUAAGAAUUAACAUUUGAUUGAAUUAUCAUCAUAAACGAGACAACAAUAUAUAGAAUUACUCACAAUCUGAGUUAUAGAAAAUCACUACAUUUGAAACUUUUGUAUGUUAUAGAGACAUCCAUUUUCCAAUUGAGGGAAAAAGGUCUCAAAUUUGUAGGGAAGUACUAGCCACUAUAGCAGUCAUUUCUAGCUGUCUUGAUGAUCUUUGGCUUGAAACUUAAGUUUUUAUGAUGUUACUUUGCGAUGAUCUUAUGCUUAUAAUUUUUAUCUUACUGACAUCAAAGUUUUCUAUAUAUUUGUGCAUUAUUUGUUAACCUCAUAUUGGUCUUAUUUUGGAGGUGACAAGGUAUUUUGUUCUUUACUUUUUCCAUGUGUUAUUUUGUUCUUUAACAUUGCUGUUUGGUUGCCAACUAUACCCAGCGUAGUUGGUUAAGGGUUUGAUGGUUGGUCCACAAUGUCCCAAGUUUGAAGCCUAGUUGCUUCACAUUUCUAGCUAAUUUUAUUUAUACAAAAUACUAGCUUGCUACCUUUUCUCUCUCUCAAAAAAAAAAGUUAUUUGGUUUCUUUUCUUCUCUUCAUCUUUUAUUUUUUCCGGAACAUGAUUAUUUGGUUAUCUAUAAAAUGCUUAUUGUGAUAAUAUGAUGUUAAAGAGUCUUUAGUGCCAUUUAACAAUUGUUAGAAAAUAUAUGCCUGCACCUUGCACCUUGCGGCUAGGCUCUAACAGCUCUUUGUGCCUUAGUGCACCUUAGGCUUUUGCCAAACACCGGGAUCUGUACAAUUUCCAAGACUUUCUGAGAUUUGCAGUAGAGCCAAUCAUGUGGAAAUCCACGAAAGUGCAAAUAGGUUGGCCCACUUAGUAAAAUGUACAGGCAGCCAUAAACUAUCGCAAUAUUGCAACUUGGUCCCCAUACUUAUUUAAGUAAUUUGGAAAAUUUCGCAUAUAUUGCACUUUUAGACCCUAAUCAUUAAAAGAAUUUAGUCAUUCUUUUGAAAUAAUUAUAAUACCUCUGCGUAAAAUAGUUGUCAUAUUUAGUUUAAUGCAAGUUGGAUUAAAAAGGCACUUUUAUGGCAGAAAUCAUGGUUUUUCUUAACUGUUCAAGGACUAAGUGCAACAUAUGUCAAAGUUCAAGGAUUAUGAGUGGAAAUAGAAAGUGUAGGGACCAACUUGCAAGAUCAGAAUAGUACAGGGACUAUCCAUACAUUUUACCCUUUGAAAUUUCAUACUCCAUGUGAAAUCUGCUUAUAUGAAAUUAAAAUUCAUGAUAUAAGUGUUUUUUGUGUGUGUUCAUUUUGCUCUAUUCACGAAUGAUGUCAACAUUUGUCAAUUAAGCGAUUGCAUCCACAUGUGAGGCUGCAUGCUCUGUCUAUUAGAAUAGUGUUUAAAGAAGGACCUUUAUUCGAUUAAUCAUUAAAAGAGAACGGUGACUAUAAUAACUAAACCAAGAUCCUGGCGGCUAAGAUGUUGGCCCUUUUUACGUUAGCCUAAUUCGCAUGUAUAUCCAACUCAAAUAUAAUCCCUGUAAAUUCUUGGUAUCUGAUGUUGGCAUCAUUUUUCCCCUUUUUUGAUGGAAGUUGGCAUCAAUAAUUUGUACUGAACUCUUUAAUUGUUUAUGGACUAUACUAAUUCCUGCCACCUCAGAGAAUUUAUUUAUGAAGCUGACAUAGUACUUUUAUAGCCAUAUAUGCGCUCAUAGUUGUUCCACAUGGCACAAUGACCUAUAUUAUUUCGCGUGAUUUGGAAGAGAAUAGAUACUCUAUUUUGUCCUGGAACGUUCAAGAAUGAGUACUUGAGCUUUAUUUCUUGGCACAGUUAGUUUGCAAAUGGACUCAUCUUCUCUUUACUCUUAUAAGUAUGCGAUUGUUUCAAUUUCUAUUGUUUUUUAGAAUUUUAUUUGAUCUGGACUGAAAAUUAGGUUGAUUUUGAGAACUACUGGGCUGAUUUUCUCUUUCCUUGAAACCCAGUGUUAAGAUGUAUUUGUCUAAAUUUGUUAGUUUUUCAUAGGCGUGCAAACAUUUUAAGUUACAAUAUCUAUUUUAUUUAAUUUUGUUCUCCUCUUGAUGCAAACCGAGAGGUUGCCAAAAUUGAAUUUUCAAGUUUACUUUUGUUUAAAGGUAAAACUAGGUUCAAUUUAUCAAUUCCGAUGAACUUUGAGUAAGGAAGUAAAAAUUUCAGUAAGACAAAAAUUAAAAUCGAAUUGAAGUAAUACUAAGAUGAUGAUAAACCUUCAGUAUAUGAGAUAAUAACAACCAACUGAAAAUACAUAUAAUAGUUCCAAGAGGUAAAUUCGGCUUUAUCGGACUUAAAGCUUUAGGUUUGGUUGUUUGGCAAAUAUGGUUGGUAAUGGUGGAAGGCUAAAUUAAAAGGGGAUAAUAGGAUGUUAGGAGAUGAGAGAUACAAAAAGUGCACCGUUCACACGAUUGCGGGGGAUCCACGAUCGACGAGGAGGGCGGUACACCACGGGUAGAACUUCGGCAACGGGAAAGAAAAAGAUGAGGUAGUGACUCGGAAGAGGAGGGGUAGAAAUAGAAGCCGAUCUUGUUACGAGGAAGAAGUGACAACGAUCAAGUUGAGGAAGAAGACGAUCUCGGCGCGAGGAAGAAGCGUCGAUGAUCUCACCGGAAAGUAGAACACCAAGGAUAAAGAGUGAGAGUAGAAUUUUCUAUUCAUCCAAAUAUAUCUCCCUUAAGGCUUCAAGAACUAUAUAUUUAUAGUGUUGAGAGCCCUCCUAUAAUAAAUUAUUGUCUUUUCGUUUUCAACAUAACACGGUCACCUAAGAGUCAUGCAUAGAAAACGAAGCAAUUUUGGGAACUUCAAAAGUCUUUUUUUGGGAAAUUCCAAAGGUCUUUUUUUGGAUUGUUUCCUUGUUUAUUGGAGAAAAGAAUUUGGGUUAGUCAAAUCAACUAAAACUAAAUGAUUUAAGUCCGAAUCAAACACGAACCUACAAAAUAAAAGAAAAUUGCAAUCAAAAAUAAAAUGAGGUUUAUUUGCUGCAUCAGUUCCCCUCGAGUUGGGGAAAUCUCGACUCCGUCGAGAUGGCAUCCUGAUAGCUCUGGUAUAAGUCCUCUCGAAGUUGGCGCAACUCUGCCUCAGAAAUCCAACUGCUAUUGGAUAAUGGUCGUCCAUGCCAAUGCACCAAGUAUCGGUGAUGAGUACCACGUCGCGUCGCAGACUCGCACACAUCCAGAAUAUCCUCCACACCAUCUACUGGAGUUUCAAUGUCGGAGUGAGAUGUCAAGCCAUCAAUAUCGACAGUAGAGGGAGCCUCUCCAUGAUACUCGUACAGCUUGCUAACAUUGAAGAUUGGGGACGUCGGUACUUCUGAGGGUAGAUCAAUUAGAUAAGCGUUUUCCCCUAACUUCUUCAGAAUUUUGAAUGGUUCGUACUUUUUCCUGUUCAACUUGCUAUAGCCUCCAGCUGGGAACCUUUCUUUCCUAAAAUAGAUCAAGACAUUAUCUCCUUCAUUAAAAGUCAUACCUCGGUGAUGUUUAUCCGCUGACUCCUUGUACUUGACAGUAGAACCCCGCAACCUCUGAUGAACCUGUUGUUGCACCUCUUGAAUCUGUUUUAGCUAAUAGUCGGCAUCUGCACUAACUCUACCAGGGUAAGGUAUUGGUGCUCGGUCAAGAAAGUGGGCAAUAGGACGGCCAUAUAAGGCUUCAAAAGGAGAUUUUCCAAUGGUUCGGUUUAUGGAACUGUUAUAAGCAAAUUCAGCUUGAGGUAAAAUUAAAUCCCAUUGUGUUAGUUUUUCUCCAGCUAAACAUCUUAAGAGAUUACCCAAAGAUCGAUUUACUAUUUUCAUCUGUCCGUCAGUUUGUGGAUGGUAUGGGCUGCUGAAAUUCAAUUUGCUUCCUGCCUUUGACAUUAAAGUUUUUCAAAAAUAACUAACAAAUUUUGUAUCUCGGUCAGAGAUAAUUGAUUUAGGAAUGCCAUGUAAACGUACAAUUUUAUUCAAAAUAGUUUUGCAAUAUGUGAUGCAUCAGAAGUUUUCUUGCAAAGAAUAAAAUGAGCCAUCUUCGUAAACGAUCAACAACCACAAAAACUGAAUCAACUUGGCGUGUAGUCUUGGGUAAGCGUAGGACAAUUUUCCAAUGACUGGUCGCAAGACUUGUGCUAUAAAUCAGAAUGUCGUCGAAGUAAACUACGACAAAUUUUCCAAUAAAUGGUUGCAAGACUUGGUUCAUAGAGCGCAUGAAAGUACUAGGGGCAUUGGAUGGCCCAAACGGCAUAACCAGCCACUCGUAUAAUCCUUCUUUAGUUUUAAACGCUGUUUUCCAUUCAUCUCCAGGUCGAAUACGGAUUUGAUGAUAUCCGCUUUUACGGUCAAUCUUAGAGAAUAUCUUCGCACUUCCUAACAUGUCAAGCAUAUCAUCAAUCCUAGAAAUGGGAAAUCUAUACUUGAUGGUAAUUUUGUUGACUGCACGACUGUCAACACACAUUAGCCACGUACCAUCCUUUUUUGGUGUAAGGAGAGCAGGCACCGCGACAGGGCUCAUAUUUUCUCUAAUGUAACAUUUUUGCAGAAGUUCAGAGACCUGCUUAUGUAACUCUUCAUGUUCAACGAGACUCAUCCUAUAAUAGGCUAGGUGUGGAAGACUAGCACCGGGUAGAAAAUCAAUGCAGUGUUGGAUGUCUCUCAUAGGUGGAAGGUCAUCGGGGAGUUCCUCAGGCAUGAUAUCAGAAAAUUCAUUAAGCAAUGGUUGAACAGUUUGAGAAACUUUAGUGUUCUUCGAUUUUUCUUUUGCCAAAAGAAUAUAUACCAUUGGAGACUUUGCUAGAUCUUUAGAGAAUUGGCUUUUGUUCAAAACCAUCAUUUUCUGCUCAUUAUUGGAGGGUUGCCUUUGGGACUCAAUUGCCUUAGAUUUUGGUUUGGGAAAGUAAUUCAGGGGAAACAAUCUAAAUUUUUUGUUGUCCUUUGUGACAAUGUAAGUGUUCUCCCUACCAUCAUGUAUAGUGCUACGAUCAAAUUGCCAAGGUCUACCUAACAAUAGGUGACUCACAUCCAUGGGAAUAACAUCACACCAAACUUUAUCAAUAUAAGUUUUUCCAAUAGAAAAUUCAACAAGACAUCUUUCAGUUAUAGGAAAUUCAUCCCCAUCCUUAAACCAAGCUAUUUUGUAAGGUUGAGUAAGUUUUUCAGUUUUCAGUUUAAGUUUAUCAACCAUUUCUCUAGAGACAAAGUUUCGGUACUACUAUCAAUGACGAGAGAGCAAAACUUGCCUCCCGCGCUACAGAUGGUUCUGAAAAGGCUACGACGCUUCCAAUCAUCUUGGGUGGACUUAGAGGCUGAUAGGACUCAAUGGAGCAUGAGAUUUGUUUCAGUAGCAUCAGGAGAUUCUUCGAAAAUCUCAUCUACAUCUUCUUGUUCUAAAGUUUCUUCGCCAUUUUCAUUUUCUUCAUGACUUUCUAUUAGAUUGGCUCUAGAAUUAAAUUUUCUCAGAAGGCAAUCAGAGGAUUUAUGUUCAGGUUUGUUACAUUUAUAACAAAUAAUGCCAAAUUCAACGGGUUUUGCACUUAAAAUUCCUUUGCCCUUAAGGUCUUGAACAGGUUUUGAAGAGGUUUGACUAUCGUUCUUUGGGAUAGGCUUAGUUCCUAUGGUGUUCUUUUCGCUCGCACUUUCCUAACGAAAGGUUUGUCUUUUAAGUUUAUUCUCAGCCUUAAGUGCAAGACUAUAAGCCAUGUCGACCCUGUAGAAAGUUAAAAGGGCUAACUCAUUUUAGAUUUGAGUUCGAAGACCGGCUAGAUAGCGAGCUAUUCGCUGUUCUUCGUCCUCUUUAAGUUCGUUACGAGCUUGAAAGGUGUAAAAUUCUUCAGUAUAUUCUUGUACCGAUUUAGAUCUUUGUUUAAGAUUGUGUAAUUUUUGAAAAAUAGUUUGACGGUAAUCAAUCGGUAAGAAUUUUCCUUUAAGUUUUUGUUUCAUUCUUUCCCACGAGAUAAUCAUUUCUUUACCCUUUCUAACCCUAUCGUUUUGAACUUAUUUUCACCACACUAAGGCAUGUCCUUUCAAUUUAAGGGAGACAAAUUUAACUUUUUUGUCAUCAGGUAAUUCUUUCCAUUCAAAAAAUUGUUCUAUUUUGUCUAACCAAUCCACAAAAUCUUCAGGUUGUAAUUUACCCUCGAACUCACUCACGUCCACUUCAAUGCCCUGAUCCCAUCGAUGUAUAUUUCCUUGAGUUUGAAAAAAAGGAUUUCUUCUAGCAGAUAAAGUACGAUUGUCAAAAUCAGGGUUACUUUUCGAAUCUUCUCCAACUGCAUUUUGUUGUUGUAUACUUAAUCUUUCCAAUAGUUGUUGAAUGUUAUUCAUUUGAUUUUGCAUACUUUUCAUGGAAUCUUAUUUUUUCUCAUAUGUUUCUUUCCAAUCACGAGGAUUUUCACUAUUGCCAGCCAUUUCCAAAUGCUAACAAGUUGAUCAAAAAGUGAUGCUCUUUUUUCUUUUUUUUUUCUUUUUUUUUUUUUGAAAUAUUUUGGCCCAAAGUUGAAUACCAGGAAAAAGUUGUUUAGAUCAAAACAAACGCUCCCACGAAAAGAACUUGCUCUGAUACCAAUUGAUGCAAACCGAGAGGUUGCCAAAAUUGAAUUUUGAAAUUUGCUUUUGUUUAAAGGUAAAAGUAGGUUCAAUUUAUCUAUUCCGAUGAACUUUAAGCAAGGAAGCAAAAAUUUCAGUAAGACAAAAAUUAAAAUCGAAUUGAAGUAAUACUAAGAUGAUGAUAAACCUUCAAUAUAUGAGAUAAUAACAACCAAUUGAAAAUACAUAUAAUAGUUCCAAAAGGUAAAUUCGGCUUCAUUGGACUUAAAGCUUUAGGUUUGGUUGUUUGGCAAAUAUAGUUGGUAAUGGUGGAAUGCUAGAUUAAAAGGGGAUAAUAGGAUAUCAGGAGAUGAGAGAUAUAAAAUGUGCACCGUUCACACGAUUGCGGGGGAUCCACGAUCGACGAGGAGGGCGGUACACCACGGGUAGAACUUUGGCAACGGGGAAGAAGAAGAUGAGGUAGUGACUUGGAAGAAGAGGAGAGGUAGAAGUAGAAGCCGAUCUUGUCACGAGGAAGAAGUGACAACGAUCAAGUUGAGAAAGAAGACGAUCUCGGCGCGAGGAAGAAGCGUCGAUGAUCUCACUGGGAAGUAGAACACCAAGGAUAAAGAGUGAGAGUAGAAUUUUCUAUUCAUCCAAAUAUAUCUCCUUGAAGGCUUCAAGAACCAUAUAUUUAUAGUGUUGAGAGUCCUCCUAUAAUAAAUUAUUGUCUUUUCGUUUUCAACAUAACACGGUCACCUAAGAGUCAUGCAUAGAAAACGAAGCAAUUUUGAGAACUUCAAAGGUCUUUUUUUGGGGAAUUCCAAAGGUCUUUUUUGGAAUUGUUUCCUUGUUUAUUGGAGAAAAGGGUUUGGGUUAGCCAAAUCAACUAAAACUAAAUGAUUUAAGUCCGAAUCAAACACGAACCUACAAAAUAAAGGAAAAUUACAUUCAAAAAUAAAAUGAGGUUUAUUUGCUGCAUCACCUCUCCCCUGAUCCUUUAAUCCUUCCCAUGAAAUUUUUAUGAUAAAAGUUCUAAUGCACCAAAGUUUUUGAUUCCUGUUGAAACUAGUCUUUCUGUUGUUUGUAAUAUAAAAUUUCUUUUGCUGUUUUGAGCAUUGAAAAAAAUCCAUGAACCAAUGUUGUCCUAUUUUAAUUUAUUUUCUUAUGACUUUAAAAAAUUUCUUGUACAAAAUUGUACUCACAAUUUCGAUUUUGAGAGAAGAAAGCUUAAUGAUUGGUGCUAAUGUAGUGAUGCGGCACGUUUUCAAAAAGGAGAAUGAAAGUUUUUACUUUUGCUUUUUUUUUUUUGCUUUUUUUUUUGUAAAUGAACCCCCAUGUCUUCUUAGAGUUGAAUAAUUGUUAUGACGAACAAGCUUCGGGAGUUUUUUUUUAUUAUUUUGGUUGAUAUUACAAGGACUAAAUUGAAGUUGAGGUCAAACUUUGGAUAAAGAUUUCUAAUGAACCAUUAAUAAAGAGGCCGCUUUCUUCUCUGUUUGUUAAGAGUCCUCAAGUUAUACUAGGCGUAACUCGAAAUAUCUUUAGUAAAAGAGGUGUACAGAAUCACUUGUCGUUUUGUCAGCUCAUGCUUAUCUGCUACGAAUAUUAUAACAUAUCACAAUUCUGAGAAUUCCCUACUGUAAAGACUCUUAUAGAUGGCAUUUUUGUGUGUCUGUGAGGGAGUCAAUAGGUUUGUACAUGGACGUGGAUUCAACUUCCUCUAGAAAUCAAUACACAUUAUGCUACCUUUCUUUAAAUAUAGAUAUAUUGAAGCUCUGCGAGUAUUAGAAGUACACAAUUCCAUGUUAAGAUGCUUAACAGAAGCAUUCCAAUAGUUGACGCCAUAUGGUCAGCUUGUGUUCUUAUUUCUCUUAUUUCCAUGAUAUAUGCAUACGUGACUGCUUUUGCAGGUUGAAAGUUUCAACUGUUAAACCACAUAAAAUUAUCUUCCAUUUUUCCUUCAAGUAAACUUUCCUUCAAAUCAUUGAUUCUUUCAAUUUACUACAAAGUACCAGGCAAUAAAUUAUAUGAUUUCUAAACUGAAAUGCGUAGAAUUCAUCAAUUUAUUCUUAUUCUUUUUAAACUUAACUCCCCAUUCUAUUCAAAUCUGAUGCCUCUACCUAAACAUAUCCAAUAAACGCUAAUUUAUACUUGAUAACUAAAGUAGAUGCUAAAACUGAUAUAGGUAAUUGAACAGGUUUGUCUGUGCAUGAGCAUGUGUGCAUGUGUGGCAACAUUCUCCUCCUGUCGACUUCAAUUAAUUUCUCACUUGCUUUUAGUCAUUAUACUUCUCGUUGAGCUGUUUUCGACUGUUUAAAAUUUUAAAUGUGGCACAGGUGUUUUGUCUUCAACACAGGGGUUACACCAAACAUCUGUGUCCGAAUGCAAAUCAAAAGGAUGUGACUGUCCUAAUUUGUCCGCUCUGUGCUAAAAGCGUCCGCCUGGUGCCAAAUGAAGACCCGAAUAUCACUUGGGAGUCCCAUGUUAACAGCGAUUGUGACCCGUCAAACUAUCAGAAAGCAACAAAGAAAAAGAGGUGUCCUGUUCCAGGUUGCAAAGAAACACUAACAUUUUCCAACACAAUCCGAUGCAGGGACUGCACCAAAGAACACUGCUUGAAGCAUAGGUUUGGACCAGACCACAAGUGCAUUGGGCCGAAGAAACCGGAUCCCAGCUUCCCUUUCGUGAAUCUGCUACGGAGAAGUCAGAAAGCGGAAUCAGUAUCGAACAGUGCUCCUAUUGGUUCUUCAUGGUGGGGCUCGAGCUUUCUAAAUGCAGCAUCAAAUGCAAAGGCCUCUGCGGAAGCUGGUAUGCUGAGAUUGAGUAAUGCAACGACGGAAGCGUUCCAAAAGGCAAGAGAUGGAAUAGCACAAAGCAGCAGCAGGUUCGCCCUUAUGGAGCAAUGUGUUCAAUGCCAAGCAAGGUUUUCCACAGUGUCAGAUUUGAUCAAGCAUGCCGAGAGAUGUCAUCAAAACACUGUUCAGCUAAAGCGUAACGGGGUAACAAUUGACAUUUGCCCGAAAUGCAGCAAGGGAUUUCAGGAUCCUGUAUUGUUGGUGGAGCAUGUCGAGAGGGACCAUGGAGGAACUUCAAAAGUUGUCCAUUCAACUUAAUUGAAUUACCACCUGUUUCAAUAUCUUGUUCCAUUUGUAACUGUGAUCAAUGAAAAUAUUACUUGAUUGAUAUAUGGAACUUUUAGUAGUUUCUAUUUUUGGUUCCCUUUAUCUUACAAACAUGAUUCAUGCUAAGUGGUAAAUUAUGGCAUCCUUUCUUCCUUGUUCGUAAUGUUUAAUUUUUGUAUAAGCUUUACCGUGAUAAGAAAAUUUGUAUAUUCGUUUUGCUUCGUUGUUAGUAUUCUGGACCCUCGCUAAGUUUCUUUGUUUUUGGGGGUGUUUGGCCUAACUUUUAAGAAGUGAUUUUAGACUCAAAAGUGAUUUUCGGCUCAAUAGAGCAUUUGGCAACCUCGUUUUCAAAAUCUGAUUCUGAUUUUCAAACAGUGCUCAUAUAUGCAUGUAUACUUUUGCAGGGAUAGGUCUGUAAAUAUCUCUUAAUAUAUCGAGCAUAGGGAUGACUUGGGGAUAAAGUGGGCAUAGUGCUAUUCUAAUGCCGAAAUAGUUAUUCCGUGAUCAUCCUUCAAUCACGUGGUAUGAAGAGAACGAUUGCUCCUGGUGUGCCUUCUUUUGCUUCUUUUUGGCGUAUAUAUCCCGAUCAAUGCUGUGUUUUAGUCCUUCACGUCUUCUUACUUCAGUAAUAGAAAGCAUUCUUUGUUGUGCAUAUUAGUCUUAACUGUGCUUUUUUGUGCAUGUUAGUCUUAGCUGUGCAUAUUAGUCUCUAGGACAAAGCCAAGAUUGCCCAGGAUAAUCAGUUAUCUCUUUAUUAAGAGUUUAUCCAAUGAGUGAGAUGCAUCCUUAAUUGUAAAUCAAAAUACUCGUGUUGGAUUUCCUUUCUAUACAGAGUUAAUUUUCAAAACCUUCAGUGCUGCAAUAGAGUUAUUUCAUUAGUUAUCUUGACUUGGAUUUCACAAAUUGGAAAAUUUCCACAGAUUGUGGUUAUUCUUAGUUCUAGCAAUGUAGGUCUCUUCAAAAUAGUUAUGAUUAUUGGAAACUAGUUUGUGUUUAAGCAUUGUUUCCGGGGAUACCGUCGAUUUAUUUACUUAUUUUCUUAUACCUUUGAAAAUUAGUUAAAAUGCAUGGAGACGAUUAUACGAGAAAGGACUUUGGAUCCUGCUUGCCGCUAUUCUUCUUUAAUGGGGUCUCCACACUUGAGUUCAGAGUUGGCGCCUCCUUUUCAAUCUAGUUCAAGAAUCACUGCUAAUUUGGCACCUGAAUCAAUUCAUGGCUCCUCUAUUUCUAACUUCUCUACAGCGCUUGGUAAUGACCGUUCUUCUUUUCAAAGUGAGUUGAAUUGAAUAGAGAAGUUUGUGAAAUUUGACUCCUCUGCAUUAUUUUAGCAACAAUUAUAUGGUCUCUUGCAGGAUAUCGACCUAAUGGACAGCAUAGAGUGGUUGCUAACUUCUCUUCUUGUUCGAACGGUAGAGUUAUGGAUUCAAUUGGCAGCAUUUUGGGAACAAAUUUCGCUCAUCAAGCUUCUGAUUCAUCAUAUUUGUGUUCUACUCCCUGUAACGCUUUGUUAGCAAGAGCUGUCCAGAACAACGGAGCAAGUUCAAAUAUAUUAUGUGUACGUGAUAAUGGAUCGAGGUCUCUCAAUGAUCAAACUAGAAUGAUCUUUGAGCAGUACAAUAUAUAUGGUACUAGUUAUUCUUUGCAUGGUGCGUUAAUUUUAAUGGGAGGUUCAGCUUGUCUCAGUUGCAUUCUGUUCGGAUUUCUUAUGGCUACCGACAAGAUCUAAGCAAAAGUGAUUUUCAAAGUUUAAGUGAUUCCGAUCAAUAUUAUAUGUUUUGAAGCUUUUAAUAGUUCUUUUAUGAUCUUGAUGCUUUCUUUUUUUCUCGUUAUAAUUGUAUCACAUUUGUACUUGGCAGAUAAUACACAUUUGAGCUCGGGCUCUGAAGCAUGUGUUCCUUGGAUGCGCAAUUCAUCUCUAUCAGCACUUGGUUCCUGCAGGAAAUCUAAUUUUAUGGAUAAAUUCAAUUGCGAAUCCCCCUGUGUUACUGGACUGUGCUGGAAUGGCUUCUAUUUUGGGCUUAGGGGCAUCGAAGCGGGCCACGAAGCAUUCACAAAUUUCCAGAAUCAGUUCUGGAGGCGCAUGAUUUAUUACAAGGGCAAUCUUCUCAGGAUACCCAAUUUAGUAACAAUCAUCACCAUGUAUUGCAAAAAGAAGAUAACUUUGGGCAGCAAAAGGAGUUGACUGAGAAAAAUGCUGUAGGCCCUUCACAGUGGAACAGUAAAUUAAUUGAUUUUGCUCAGGUGAACAGUAAUGUUGCAGAAACUCAUGAAAAGUCUCCUACCUCGAGUAACAAAUUGGGCUUGGAGAAAUUGAUUAAUUUUCUAGUUCUUUAUGAACAUGUAUUGAGCUGCCCACUUCGUGAAAGGGAAUGUGAUGUACACCUUUGUCCAAAUUUUAAAGAGAAGCUUAAUCACAUUUUGAAUUGUAAUGUUAAAGGUUGCGAAAAAAGUUGUUAUGGGCCCGGGGUAAUCAUCGAUCAUUAUAGCAAGUGCCGCUCAAUUGAAUGCUAGUUGUGUGGUCCAGUCUGGAGAAAAUUAGCAGAAGUUCCUGACCAGCUGCGACCUGCAAAACAUUGUAGGACUGAAAGCUGUAGUGCCUUUCUCUCCAGUCAAAAUGAAACUUUUAAAGAACAAUGGCCUGCCCUGAAUUCUAAUGGUUCUUCUUCCCAAGGUUCAUCGAGAACAUUUCAAGGGACACUGAUGUCUACGAAUGUGAGCUCUGAGAUUCAAGUGUGUCUAUGAAUCAGAAAUUUCUUGAUGCUUCUACUUCUAAAGUUGACGACUGGAAUGUGAACCUUGUGAGGCUGGAAGAGACUAAAGUGCAACAAGAGCAAGAAAAGACAAAGAUGCAGAAUGAGGUCGAUGAUGCAGUUGAAAUGCAAGAAAAUGCAGAAAUUCAGAACAAGGACAAUGACUUCGUCGUCAGGAUGCAAGAAGACGCACAUAUUAAGGACGAGGACGAUAAAAUCGUGCUCAAGCUACAAGAAAAAAUAAAAAAUUAGAAUGAAACUGGAGUCAGAAUUGUGGUCGAGAUGCAAGAAAAUUCACAAAUUCAGAAUGAGGGCAGUGAGUGCCCAUAAGGAGAUAGCCGGGCCCUAACACGGGUGAGCAGCAGAGGGUUCCGGUGUCAAAUUUGACACUUCCAGAAAUCCAGAUCGGAAUGAUUAUCCGACGAUAAUCGUUUCGACUUGAGAUCUUGUGUUCGCUACCUGGACACCCAAAGCGGUGUGUUUCGGGUCAGCGGGUGACUCGUGGAACGAGUCGAUGCACUUCGUGACACUUCUUGGGUCCCAACGGUGUCCCGAUAUGAUUUUUGGGAGUUCCGACGAGUUACAAUGAUUGGUUUUUGGGAAACUGACUAUGUGAGAAAUUAUGGGGAUUGUGAGUGUUAUGUUUUGAGUCAGUAGGUUGGACUCUGACUCUAUGGACCCUUUGUAGGUCUGGUCGACGACCUUGCAUAUUAUAGGGACAGACGCGAUAGAGAUACAGGUGGGUACUUCGAUCCGAAGUCGGUCUAGUGGUGCACGCUCGCUGAUGUUCCCUCCACCUUCACUUUCUAUACUUCUUGCAUUACUUGUGAUUGUUGAGCCUGACACCACACGACCCUGUUGCAUAUUGCUCUACUUAUUUAUUUUCAUAUUCACUUAUUGUGAUCUAGAAGUAGAGCGGUUAUUUACUAUACCUGUGGAUUGCGACUUUCGUUGUGACCUAGUUGGUCGGUUCUAUAACUCCUGUUGUUUGAUGACUAUUCGGUCGGUAUAUCCUGAGGGUUUUGAUUGUUGGCUAUUCGCCGACAACUAUUGAUCAUAUUUGCAUCUAUCGCCAUUCCUCGUGCGCAAUUCACGUACACUAAUAGUUUGGCCACCGCAACGAUGUUCUUUUCCGAAAUAAUGGUUGGGAGUGCCAACCCGUAAGCCCAGAAGCUUAUGCUAGGGGUAUACGUCAUUUAGAAUGGCGUGGCACUUACCUUAAGUCUUUAGAUCGACACGGCGGAUUUUAAUUGGGUACUUUGGGACUAUUGUCCGGUUGAUACAUUUUACUUACAGUAGUGGUAGCUGUAGAUGCAUCUUGCUUCAUCUUUUACUUUGCUACUGACCUACUGUAUUACCUUUCACAGCUAUACUUUUGGUUACCAGUGAGUACACUCGCCCUCGUUGGCUUGCGGUACCCCUAGUUGGUUACCAGUGAGUACACUCGCCCUCGUUGGCUUGCGGUACCCCUAGGAGACCCUUGUUGGUUCCUCACCCCCAAGUUCAGAUAAUUUUGGAGGCACGAGUCGGGACGAGGCGUGAAGACGUAACCAGCAAGCGAUAGAGGUCCUAUCCCGGUAGUAUUUUGGUUCUAGACUUUACACAUUUUUUAUUGAUAAAUAAUCCAAACUAUUUAUGUGGUUCAACUUAACUCUUGUUGGUUUUGUUCUGAUUUUACUUUGAGUUUGAAAUAUUAAAUAAAUCUAUUUUGUAAGCACCAUGUGGAUUUAUGAAAAUAAUUUUCUAUCCCUCGUGGUAGCUCAUUUUCAAAGAUAAUAAAAGGUGUCCAUGUGGAAAACAGUUUUUUAAAAAAAAAUUUGCCUUUUCGUGAGUUUAGUAUUUCAAAAAUAAGUUUCCAAAUGGAAAACACUUUCAACUUUUAAUUAUGAAAUGUUGCAAAUCUUGUAAUGUACUGUUGUGAAUGUGCAAUUGUUAAUGGAUGUGAUUGUGACUUGUACUAUGUGUGAUGCCGGUAAAUAUAAGAAAGACUCUGCCUGCAUGGACAGUAUAUUUUCUGUAUUUGUAACGAGUCUAUCAUCCCUUGGAUCAAGAUUUCAAAAGAAAAAAUAUGGUAUAUUUCUCACAGAUCCAUUGACUUCAAAUUAGCCCUCCUUAAGGGCUUUAUAAAGAGCUUUAGGUUAGUGAACUUCAAUCUCACAAGACAUCUGCUAACUUGUUGAUAUACACACACUAAUCCAACCACGAAAUCACAACAUGAGAAGAACAAGACACUAGGAAAAGAAGAAGGGCUUUUUUUGCAAUUGGACCCCUGAAAAAAAUUAUUUUUAAAAAUAAUCCCAGCAAAUUUAUAUUUGCAAAAAUAGCCCUGUCCCUGCCACCCAAGCGUCACGUCAGCGCCACGCGGGCAGGACUGGAGGCGGUAGUUAAGUUAAACACGGUGAACCAUUCACCGUUCUAAACAUGGUGAAUGAUUCACCGUGUUUAGAGCUAAUACGUAUUUUUUACAAUAUAAAUAUUUGAAGGUGAAUGGUUCACCGUGUUUAGAGCUAAUACGUAUUUUUUAUAAUAUAAAUAUUUAAAAAAAGGAAUAGAGAGUAGAAAUGUCAAUGGGUAUGGAUAUCUGAAAUAUUAUUCGAACCCAAACCCGAAUAAAUUAUAUAUAUACAUAAUUUUUUUUAUUUAUUUAUACAAUAUAUAAAAUAUUUAAUAAUUUUUAUUUCUUAGAUCUUUAUCCAACAUUAUAGAUUUUUAAAAUCCGCUGGAUUCAGAUUCGGAUUUCGAGUUUUUGGUCGGACAUGAGUAUAAAUUUUUAAAAUCCGUCAGAUUUGGGUUUUAAUUUGAUUUUCGAAUUCUGGAUUUGGAUUUUUGAAAAAGGGAAAAAAAAAGGAAUAAAAAUAUGAAACACGGUGAACCAUUCACCGUGUUUGAACACGGUGAAUGGUUCACCGUGUUUAACUUAACAUACUGGCCCCGGCCCUACCUGCGUGCCGCUGACGUGGCGCCUGCGUGGCAGGCCCAAGACCAUUUUUAUAAAUUAAAUUUUGAUAGGGCUAUUCUUAAAAUAAAAAUUUGUUAGGAGGCUAAAUGCAAAAAAAGCCCAAAGAAGAAACAUCACAGCGCAAACAUUAGGAUUGAAUAGUAAGCAAAAUGGAUCGCUAAUAAUUACAAGCUACAGAUAGGGAAAACAAAAAAAUCUAAAGGAAAAUUCUUCCUAUGACCGACAAACAAUUCUACCUCCUGCAUGGAUCAAAGUAAAUAAAAUUGACAACAUAAAUAUAUCUUCUACAUUUUCUUUUAAUGCAACAGUACUGCAACCAUUACUAUGCAAGAGCACCAAGUGAUGGACUAGCAUAGCAAACUACCACAUAAAUCUCUGCACCCCAGCCUCAUGUUCCCAACGAAAUGGACGAAACAAAAACAUAGCCAUUGUGAAAAUAUCCACAGCAGCAUACAGAAGCCCCAAGACCAGCCACUUACUAUUUUCGGUAGCUGGGGAAUGGAGAAUUAGUAAAAAGAAAGGGAUUGUGAAGUAUCUGAACUCAAUCAGUGGAGCGGGGAUGAGAACUAGUGCGACGCAGAGAACAAAAGACAACACCCAAGCCCUUUUUUGUGAUUCUCCUGUAACAUGAAGAAGCAAAAUAAUAAGCUGAAUAGGGGAUAAAUCAGAUCAGUAAGUGGUUAGGCUUCUAUUACUCACCUAAAAUUGUAAUGAUAGAAAACCAUGAGUAGACAUAAAGAGGGACUAAGAUGUAUUUCAUUGUCGAGUGUGCUUGGAUAACCUUCCUCCAGAUAUAGAAAGGGUAAUGGCGAUUAUCGGCUAGAAGAUAUGGAUGAGCAAUACUGCAAGCACAAUAUAAAGAAAUCAUAAAAUCAAUAAAAAAAAAAAAGGCUCACUUUUUUCAGGUCCAUCUGAAUGGGAACUAGAACAUUUAGUAUGUAUGAGAUAACAACAAGGAUAAAGCUCAAUCAAAACCCCAGAUUUCACAUGGCAUUUAUAUAAUUCAACAAGACCAUUUGAAAAAAAAAAAAAAAAAAAAAAAAAAAAAAAAAAAAAAAAAAAAAACGUUAAUUUAUUUUUGGACUACACAACUUUAUCAACAUUCUUGGUUUUCCAUAUUUAGACCAAAAUACAUUUUUCCUGGAUGAAAAUGUCCACGAUUGAAGUUUCUAAUGAAUAUAUUAGUCAUAAGGAGUGCCACAGAUAUUAAGUCAAUAAAAGAGAUUUCAGCCAGAAAUUGCAGCAUCCUGCUGAAUAAAACAAAAUUAAUGUUUACUGUUUUUUUUUCCCCUUCCCAAAAAUAGGUUCAAAGAAUUAUUGUUUGCUCGAAGCUUUAUUAUGUGAGUAUAGGAAAGGUUCAAUGAGCUUCAGCAUUAAAUACUAUAAUAUUUAUGAAAUUCUCCGUCUAUCCUGUCAAUUCUAUCUUGUGUGUUUACCUCUGACACUGUUCAAAAUUUAAUAUGCCGUCACCAUGAGCCCAAACUUUUAUCUAUUAUUGUAUUUUUGGUAUUUACUGACUCCAUGUUACUUAAAAAGAGCCCAUCCAAGAGCCAAGUCUCCUAAUCAGCUAUUGCUUUACGAAUCCAAACAAGAUCAAAGUCCUGUUUCAAAAUAAAACUCUGACCUGAAAAAGUGCACAAUUAUACAACUUGUGCCAAGAGCUGCGAAAACUAGAAAAGAGCCAAGAACCUUGUUACGCUUAAAUAAUUGGCAUAACUUUGCUACUUGGUGAGGAGUAAAAUGAAAAGGAGCUAGGGCCGCAGCUGACACCAGACCAAAGUACAACAACUGUGCAAAGUGUGGAGAAACCACGUGAGCUUCUUUUGCACCUGCAACAUUGCAAAAAAAACAAAUUGUAAAGCUUGUUUUCUCUAAAACAAUAAGAAUUUGUUCAAUUCUAGUGCAGCACGACAAUUUAAAAGGUGGCAGCUAAAAAUAAAUACCAAGAACUAUGCCCCUAUUCCAAAUAAUGAAGGCCGCAAAUGCUAUUAGAAUCAUGGCAUAGGGCGCAAAGGCAAUCAAGACUUUCCACUUCAAAGACCAUAACUUCAAGGUGAUAUCGAGUAUUUCAAUAAUAAUACCUGCAAGAUAAUUCUAUUCGAUGUCAAAUAAACAUCAAGGAAAGCGAUUAAUAAUAGUUUACCAAACAUUGUUGCUGAACUUUUUAUCAUAGACAAAGAUAAGUAACAUUUUGACUAGUUCCUACCCGGGGAAUGAAAAUGGGAAUAUCCACUUGAUUCACUACUACGCAGCUUAUUGGUAUUUGCAGAAUUAUUCAUUUUUCUUCUCCUCAAACUUGGAAAAGUUGAAGUUCUUUUCUUGUUAGUUAGUAAAUUGUUUUCCUCCUGGAUUAAUUGCUCAUUCUCCCCUGGAAAACUCUUAGUUUCAUAGAAGUCCUCUGCGUAUUUGAUAGCUCCAUUAGCAGCUACAAAUAUCACCCAUACAACAUUUGUCUGCCGGAAAAGUAUCGCCAAAGCUCCGAGCUGCAGAAAAUAGAAUGCACAUAUAAAGUAAAAAAUAUCAUUGGAAGAGUAUCACCGCUGCAUCACAACAUUGUUGAGAUAAAGUAAAGAAGAAAGCAAGCUUUGUCACAUGCUUGGUAAUAAGGAAAGAUUGAAUAGCUCAAACUACCUAAAAAGUGUUUGCUCAAAAAUUAAACCAGGCAUAAAUUUUUAUACCUCCUAGUUUUAUUCCUUUCUGGAAUUCCUAUCAAAUAUUCUAUUUGACUAUAGAUACCAGUGAAGUAUCAUGCAACCAUAAAAUACUGGCAUAAUAUCUCUAUUCAAUUAAAAACACCAUGUAUAAUCUUAACUGUUGACAAAACUAUAUUGCAGCGUAAAAGGAAAAACAACUCAUGAUAAAUGAAUUAAAGUGUGACAUCCAAGCUGCAAACAGACUACAUUGAUUGCUGUUGUAUAAGAUGGUUAAAAUGUACAGAUGAUCCCCAAAUUUCCACAAUAUCGCGACUGUCUGUGGACAUUUCACUCGGAUAAUUUAGUUCAUAAACUUUCUUACGUGUUGCAAUCACUGCCCAAAACCCGUUUAACUGUCCAAAAGAAAACCUAAUAUCUGUUACGUGACAUGCUCCGCACCAGACUCAUUUCCUGUAAGAGGACGAAUUUAGCCUGGCACAAGACUCUAGCUAUAAUAUAUAUUUCCUGUAAGAUGACAUAUUUAGCCCUGGCAGUAAGAAUGUAAGAUGACAAAUUUAGCCCUAGCACGAGACUAGCUAAAAUACAUCAGAACAAAGACUCAUGCGCUAGGUAUAAAUAACAAUUCUAUAGGAAAAAAAAAAAAAAUCAACUGCUAGGCAAGGUUUAAAGUGCCGUGACACGGGAGCGUGCCGAUGUCUGUCUGGCAUGGUAUGGCACCGGCACGCUUCCGUGCCGACAUAUGGUACGCUUGCAUGCCGAUGGAUAUGCAUAACCUCCUACUGGAACGCUUUGUCACGGACUUAUUUCAAUUUUUUUAGUUCUAAUAAGCUCUUAUAAUGUUAUUUUGAAAGAUUUAAUCAAAUAAUUAUGAAUAUUUGCUAUGUAUAGCUUACUAUACUCAUUAAUUAACAUAUUUGUAAGCUUUUUUGUAUAUAAAGUACAAUUAUACUGAUGCAAAAUAGAAAUUGUUACAUGUAAGAAUUUUUAAAAUGCAAAGAUAUCUUUUUUUCAUUAUUUCUUUUGACCAUAUUACAAUCUUUCUUUUAUAAAAUAUAAAAAAAUAAUUUUAAAAANUUAUUUUAAAAAGUAUUUAAAAAAAAUUAUUUUUUAAUUAAUUUUUUCAAAAAAAUUAGUAGAUCUAUCAAAAAAAUUAAGCAAUUAAUUAUAUGACAAAUAAAUUAAAUAAAUUUAAGUAUCAAUUGAUUUAAUUUAACUUUUAAUUUUAUCAGCAUUUUCAAUCUUCUAGCGCAAAAAUAAAAUUUUUAUGUUUGAUGUGGCUCAAAAUUUGUUUAUUGAGUUCGAUGUUGUUCCCUUAAUUCGCCAAAAAUUUGGCAAUGCGACAAAUUUUGAUAAAAUAAUUUGUGAAGAAAAAAUAGAUAUCUGUGGUGGAAGCGGAGGGCUCGGACAAAUCUUUUGUCCGUAUAUUGAUAAACAAAAAAAUUAAAUUAUAAUUUUUUUGACUUAUCUAAUAAGUAAAUUUUCGAUUGUAAUGUUUUUGGGAGGGCGUGGAGUACCCAGAAUGCUUUGGAUAUCCCAAAGAACAAAACAAAAGAAAAACAAAAACAAAAGGAAAAAAAAAAAAAGCACAGUGCCGGCACGGCACUGUGCCGUGGCACACUGCGCAGUGCCGCUCUGUCUCGUGCGGCACGGCGCUGCGUACCGCGGCACGGAGGGGGGUCCGAGACCCCCCUGUACCGUGCCACCUUCUUGGUGGCAAGGUAUGUGCCGCCCCGUGCCACACUUUAAAGCUUGCUGCUAGGAUUAAAAUGGCUGUUUAUAACAAAUGGAUCAAGUAUGGACAACGUGGGCGCAACAAGGCCAAAGAUACGAAUGCAAAAUGUAGGAAAGUUGAAAAACCAACUUUCAGUGAAAAGUUCAAGGUCUGAGUCACAAUAUUGUGAUUUGCAAAUGUACAGAGUGAUAGAAUGCUUACAAUAGCACUGACCCAGAAUCGCUUCUUCAGGCUAGCCAAGUACAUUGCAAGAACAGCGGUGAGUGAAGCUAUAUCCGUAUAGUACAGGAAAGUGAAGAACCAGUGCACAGGGUAUAAAGAUAUCAAAAUAGCAUAAAAACUCGCCCUCCUUUCGCCUAUACUUGGCCUCAAAUGGACAAGAAGGUCAUGAACAAGUAUGCUGCAUAUGAUUGUCAGAGCGACAUUAGUCGAUCGGAGGAUGGUAGUAGAACAAAGUUGGGACAACGACUGCACUCCAUUAAUCAACCACAUGCCUGGAAACAAAGAAGCAACAUAUGCAAGUGAAACAUAGUACCUGCAAAAUUGUGAAAUAGUAGAACUCUAAGCAACAAUUGAUGUUAAAUCACUCAUGCAUAACAUAUAGCAGUCCUAUAACGAUGUGAUCAAUCAGAAUAUAAAGAGAUAUUUAUGCAAUUUAUUCUGAAAUAUAUUCCUGCAGAACCUCAAUUUCACAGAUUCCAUUAAACUACUUAUUUUCUAACAUAUACAACGUUCUCCUCAAAAAAAUUCUUAGUUUCUAGCAUAUACACCGUUCUCCUCAUAGAAAUGGCAAUAGCUAUAACCAUUUAACUGAACCUGCAGUUCCGCUGCCGAAAAGUGGAAAACGGUUAGAGCCAUUAAAUUACUACCAAAUGGGGAGUUAGAACCACUAAAGUUACUAUGAAAUGGGGUCUUAUAGCCAUUAAAUUGCUAUCAAAUGAAAUAUUCGGUAUUCAUCUACUGCUACAUCCCAAACUUUCAGUCGAGUUUCACUUUGUUUCUAGAACUUUUAAAUUUGACAUUCGACUCCCUGAACUUCUAGAAUUGUUUCACUUUUGUCCGUGCUAUCACUUAUGCCCUUCAACCAUUUCUUGAAUAUAUAUAUAUAUAUAUAUAUAUAUAUAUAUAUAUAUAUAUAUAUAAAAGCGGAUAGAAAAUUUUUAGUUGAUCGACGGAAUCCUCGAUAGAUUAAAAGAAUAUUCUAUACACAUAAAAAAAAAAA